This 2549-nucleotide long non-coding RNA is filed under the name Homo sapiens (human). RNAcentral's name for it is "HSALNT0146539". The record is from RNAcentral. Lineage: Eukaryota; Metazoa; Chordata; Mammalia; Primates; Hominidae.
AGCCCUCGUGCGGCCAGCCCAGUCCAGAGCGAGGAAGUGGAAGAGAGUCAGCGAGCUCGAUGCUCCGCCGCUCGCGGCUGGGGGGUCCGGGGCCGCGUCUCCUCUCCUCCCUCCGCCUCUCCUCUUUCCUCCUUCCUGCUGCCUCUUCUUUUAAAGCGGAUUCUUUGGCCACAAAUAGCAACUCGGCUGCCCCCCUCGGUGCCUCCCUCCCCUUCUCUUCUUCCCCCCAAAAGUGAAGCGCACGCGAGGAGCUGAAAAGCUGUGCAGGGAUGAUGGACCCUUGCCCCCUGUGACCUAAGGAUGGAUCCAGAAAUCUCAGCCUCCCCAUAGGUGAUUCCACCCAAGAUGUAAACUCCUACUUGGCUUUGUCAUUGCCACAUGUGCCCCCAUAAACUGGCAAUCCCACUUUCCUCAUCCAAAGUUGCAUGUUAGAGAAACAGAAAGUUUUAAAACCCCUAAUAUUCCUUUGCUGUUACUUUUGUGGGAAAUGUAUCACUCUGCCUGCAGAUCUGACCUCAUUUAAGAAGAACCCAGCUGGUAAAUCUGACUGCUAUCUGGGAACAUAGUUGAGGAUAUAUCAUCUUACACCACUGGUAGUGAUUUAAACUAGCAAGUAGAAAAGGGACCCAGAAAUCAGGGGAUACAGAGGACAGUACAAGUAAAUGGCAUAAGCCCAACUUUUCUGACACUGUGAAGUCCUAGAUGUUCUUGUCUCUACUACAACCAAACAUCAAACAUCUUAGAGAAAGAAGUAGGGAUGGGUCAAGGUGACUGGAGAGUCUGAGUUAUUAUUAUACCAAUGAGACUGAGAAUUAUUCAGGGUGAUGCUGCUGAAAAACGGGAGAUACAGCAAAUAGAGAAGCCAAAGUUUCUCUGCACAUCUGAGUAGUAAUGGAAGUGAGACUGCAGCCUGCUACACUCAUGUUAAUAUAUUCAGAGCAGAUUGGCAACAAAAGAGUGUCCUAAUGCUGCAGCAUCUAGUAAACUUCUGGACUGGUUUACCAUUUGGAAAUUUUAAGUCAAAGAACAUCAGAAGCAGGCUAAUCUUUUGUUGAAAUUACCUCGUUUUUACAGGUAAAGAAACGAAGACCCUGAGAAUUUAAAAUCAUCCAACUAUUUGGUGCCAGAAGCAGGACAAGAACUCAGACAUCAUGAUCCAGUGCCCUCCAUCCCACCAGCUAUUCAUCAUCACCUCCACAUUCUGGAUCAAAGAAGCCAGUUUUCCAACUUAUCAAUGAGCAAUACAUAUAGAAUAUUUUUAAAACUCCAAAUACUUUUAUGAAGGAAAAAUGAAGCAAUAGGACAAGACAUUUUCUUCGUUUCCUUCCAGCUCUAACAUUCUGUGAUAAAUAGCACACAGGAGCUUUGCUAUAGCACUACCCCCUCUAGUGCAUAAUUCAGCAUACGAUGAGUAUGAGUCUGUUUUGGACCCCAUCCAAAGGAGUUAGUUCCUAGAAGUACUUGGAAGAUUUAUUCUCAUUUAUCAUGAGGCAUCCUAACAGGAGACUAAAAAUAAUCACGAUGACAAUAAUAGUAAUCAGUUGUUACACUUGUAUUAUGUACUAAGCAUCGUGCUAAGCAUGUUAAAGUUCACCUGUUUUUGAAAAGGCACUUCAUGACCUUAUGUGGGUUGCGAAUCUAGUGGGUCAUAAACAAUUUCUGAAAUGAAAGAAAAGUAGGAAAAAACACAGAGUGCAUUAUACAUACUAAGUUGUUUUAUUUUUUAUUUUUUUAUUUUUUUUGCAAAACUUCCUUUUUGAUCAUGUGGCUAGUGAUUAAAAGUUUGGAAGCACUGCCUCGUUUCCAAUCUUAACUGCCUUGCUAGUUAAGUAUUAUUAGCCCCAUUAUAUAAGUGAGGAAACAGGACGAGAGAGGAUAAGUAAUUUGGCCAAGCUGACACAGUGAGUGGCCAAGCUAGAAUUUUGAACCUAGAUCUGUUUGACUUCAAAUCCAAUAUUUUCACUUCUAUAGUGAUGAUAAAUUAUUGACCAAGGUAUGGAAUAAAUUGUUGCUAAUCAUGUUUUCUUUGUGAGGACUACUGGGGUUUUUAUUAAAUCCAGCUAAAUGGAGAAACACAGCAUAGAUUCAAGUGACAUGUUCGGAAGAGAGUGAGGAAUUUCAUAAAACACUAAAUCUAAUAUCUAAGACCUUUUCCUGUAGGUGUUAGCUUAUGUCUAAUACACUUUAUUGACUUACUGCUAAAUACAUAAAUGAAACAAUAAUAGUUUCAGUCCUCAAAUAACAAUAUUCACUUCUACGUGUGUUUCUAUUUUUAUUUCAGAGAGUAUUUUUCAAAUUUAAGUUAUACAGCAUUUCUCAGUAGCUUGCUUUGGCCAAACACAGAACUAGCACAUAAGAAAGCUAAAAGGCCAGGCACUGUGGCUCACACCUGUAAUCCCAGCACUUUUGGAGGCCAAGGCAGGCAGAUCACUUGAGGUCAGGAGUUUGAAAUCAGCCUGGCCAACAUGGUGAAACCCGUCUCUACUAAAAAUACAAAAAUUAUCUGGGCGUGGUGGCACGUGUCUGUAAUCCCAGCUACUCGGGAGGCU